This 450-nucleotide ribosomal RNA is filed under the name uncultured bacterium. Its description in RNAcentral is "partial 16S ribosomal RNA". It matches the Rfam family "Bacterial small subunit ribosomal RNA", at positions 354 to 796 of the family's 1533-position model. The record is from RNAcentral.
GUGGGGAAUUUUGGACAAUGGGCGCAAGCCUGAUCCAGCAAUGCCGCGUGCAGGAAGAAGGCCUUCGGGUUGUAAACUGCUUUUGUACGGAACGAAACGGUCCGGGUUAAUACCCUGGGCUAAUGACGGUACCGUAAGAAUAAGCACCGGCUAACUACGUGCCAGCAGCCGCGGUAAUACGUAGGGUGCAAGCGUUAAUCGGAAUUACUGGGCGUAAAGCGUGCGCAGGCGGUUUUGUAAGACAGACGUGAAAUCCCCGGGCUCAACCUGGGAAUGGCGUUUGUGACUGCAAAGCUGGAGUGCGGCAGAGGGGGAUGGAAUUCCGCGUGUAGCAGUGAAAUGCGUAGAUAUGCGGAGGAACACCGAUGGCGAAGGCAAUCCCCUGGGCCUGCACUGACGCUCAUGCACGAAAGCGUGGGGAGCAAACAGGAUUAGAUACCCUAGUAGUCC